This 1473-nucleotide ribosomal RNA is filed under the name Streptococcus thermophilus. RNAcentral describes it as "bacterial SSU rRNA". It matches the Rfam family "Bacterial small subunit ribosomal RNA". Lineage: Bacteria; Bacillati; Bacillota; Bacilli; Lactobacillales; Streptococcaceae. The record is from RNAcentral.
GGACGAACGCUGGCGGCGUGCCUAAUACAUGCAAGUAGAACGCUGAAGAGAGGAGCUUGCUCUUCUUGGAUGAGUUGCGAACGGGUGAGUAACGCGUAGGUAACCUGCCUUGUAGCGGGGGAUAACUAUUGGAAACGAUAGCUAAUACCGCAUAACAAUGGAUGACACAUGUCAUUUAUUUGAAAGGGGCAAUUGCUCCACUACAAGAUGGACCUGCGUUGUAUUAGCUAGUAGGUGAGGUAAUGGCUCACCUAGGCGACGAUACAUAGCCGACCUGAGAGGGUGAUCGGCCACACUGGGACUGAGACACGGCCCAGACUCCUACGGGAGGCAGCAGUAGGGAAUCUUCGGCAAUGGGGGCAACCCUGACCGAGCAACGCCGCGUGAGUGAAGAAGGUUUUCGGAUCGUAAAGCUCUGUUGUAAGUCAAGAACGGGUGUGAGAGUGGAAAGUUCACACUGUGACGGUAGCUUACCAGAAAGGGACGGCUAACUACGUGCCAGCAGCCGCGGUAAUACGUAGGUCCCGAGCGUUGUCCGGAUUUAUUGGGCGUAAAGCGAGCGCAGGCGGUUUGAUAAGUCUGAAGUUAAAGGCUGUGGCUCAACCAUAGUUCGCUUUGGAAACUGUCAAACUUGAGUGCAGAAGGGGAGAGUGGAAUUCCAUGUGUAGCGGUGAAAUGCGUAGAUAUAUGGAGGAACACCGGUGGCGAAAGCGGCUCUCUGGUCUGUAACUGACGCUGAGGCUCGAAAGCGUGGGGAGCGAACAGGAUUAGAUACCCUGGUAGUCCACGCCGUAAACGAUGAGUGCUAGGUGUUGGAUCCUUUCCGGGAUUCAGUGCCGCAGCUAACGCAUUAAGCACUCCGCCUGGGGAGUACGACCGCAAGGUUGAAACUCAAAGGAAUUGACGGGGGCCCGCACAAGCGGUGGAGCAUGUGGUUUAAUUCGAAGCAACGCGAAGAACCUUACCAGGUCUUGACAUCCCGAUGCUAUUUCUAGAGAUAGAAAGUUACUUCGGUACAUCGGUGACAGGUGGUGCAUGGUUGUCGUCAGCUCGUGUCGUGAGAUGUUGGGUUAAGUCCCGCAACGAGCGCAACCCCUAUUGUUAGUUGCCAUCAUUCAGUUGGGCACUCUAGCGAGACUGCCGGUAAUAAACCGGAGGAAGGUGGGGAUGACGUCAAAUCAUCAUGCCCCUUAUGACCUGGGCUACACACGUGCUACAAUGGUUGGUACAACGAGUUGCGAGUCGGUGACGGCGAGCUAAUCUCUUAAAGCCAAUCUCAGUUCGGAUUGUAGGCUGCAACUCGCCUACAUGAAGUCGGAAUCGCUAGUAAUCGCGGAUCAGCACGCCGCGGUGAAUACGUUCCCGGGCCUUGUACACACCGCCCGUCACACCACGAGAGUUUGUAACACCCGAAGUCGGUGAGGUAACCUUUUGGAGCCAGCCGCCUAAGGUGGGACAGAUGAUUGGGGUGAA